AUGUCACACCCACAAGGGACCCCAGCARUAACCAACAUUGAAAAUWWGCGCCAGCUUGAUUCAGUUAAAGUAAAGAGGGCCGGCAAAUUUGGUGCCAGCCGCCGCGGUUACACCACAUGGCUCAAAUUGACUAUACCACGGCGUAAAGGGUGAUUUAAGCUACCAACUCACUGUAGUUGAACACUAAAUUAGCUGUUAAAUGCUUUUUACCUGGGAAACCCAAAAACGAAAGUUACUACACACAAACAACUUGAAUUCACAAUAGUUAGGGCACAAACUAGGAUUAGAUACCCUACUAUGCCUAACCAUAAACUUUUAACCCACACGGAUAUCGCCAGGGAACUACGAGCAAAGCUUAAAACCCAAUGGACUUGACGGUGCCCCAAACCCCCCUAGAGGAGCCUGUCCUUUAAAUCGACAACCCCCGCUUAACCUCACCAUUUUUAGCCGUCAGUCUGUAUACCUCCGUCGUCAGCUUACCGCAUGAGCGAAAUAUAGUGAGCCUAAUGUUAUAACCCCAAUACGUCAGGUCAAGGDGCAGCUAAUGAAAUGGGAAGAGAUGGGCUACACUCUCUAGCAUAGAGCAUACGAAAAACUAA
This 599-nucleotide ribosomal RNA is filed under the name Hyloscirtus colymba (La Loma treefrog). Its description in RNAcentral is "partial 12S ribosomal RNA". It matches the Rfam family "Bacterial small subunit ribosomal RNA", at positions 328 to 1259 of the family's 1533-position model. The record is from RNAcentral. Lineage: Eukaryota; Metazoa; Chordata; Amphibia; Anura; Hylidae.